AUACGGAGGGUGCAAGCGUUACUCGGAAUCACUGGGCGUAAAGCGCGCGCAGGCGGCUAUUUAAGUUGGAUGUGAAAGCCUACGGCUCAACCGUAGAACUGCAUCCAAAACUAUUUAGCUAGAGUGUGGGAGAGAAGAUGGAAUUAGUUGUGUAGGGGUAAAAUCCGUAGAGAUAACUAGGAAUACCAAAAGCGAAGGCAAUCUUCUGGAACACUACUGACGCUGAGGCGCGAAAGCGUGGGGAGCAAACGGGAUUAGAAACCCUUGUAGUCC
This 273-nucleotide ribosomal RNA is filed under the name uncultured bacterium. RNAcentral describes it as "partial 16S ribosomal RNA". It matches the Rfam family "Bacterial small subunit ribosomal RNA", at positions 523 to 796 of the family's 1533-position model. The record is from RNAcentral.